GAUGAACGCUGGCGGCGUGCCUAAUACAUGCAAGUCGAGCGAACGGACGAGAAGCUUGCUUCUCUGAUGUUAGCGGCGGACGGGUGAGUAACACGUGGAUAACCUACCUAUAAGACUGGGAUAACUUCGGGAAACCGGAGCUAAUACCGGAUAAUAUUUUGAACCGCAUGGUUCAAAAGUGAAAGACGGUCUUGCUGUCACUUAUAGAUGGAUCCGCGCUGCAUUAGCUAGUUGGUAAGGUAACGGCUUACCAAGGCAACGAUGCGUAGCCGACCUGAGAGGGUGAUCGGCCACACUGGAACUGAGACACGGUCCAGACUCCUACGGGAGGCAGCAGUAGGGAAUAUUCCGCAAUGGGCGAAAGCCUGACGGAGCAACGCCGCGUGAGUGAUGAAGGUCUUCGGAUCGUAAAACUCUGUUAUUAGGGAAGAACAUAUGUGUAAGUAACUGUGGACAUCUUGACGGUACCUAAUCAGAAAGCCACGGCUAACUACGUG
Molecule: ribosomal RNA, 497 nt
Filed under: uncultured bacterium
Lineage: Bacteria
Description: partial 16S ribosomal RNA
Rfam family: Bacterial small subunit ribosomal RNA
Source: RNAcentral